UACGUAGGGUGCAAGCGUUGUCCGGAAUUAUUGGGCGUAAAGAGCUCGUAGGCGGUUUGUCGCGUCUGCUGUGAAAACUCGGGGCUUAACUCCGGGCCUGCAGUGGGUACGGGCAGACUAGAGUGCGGUAGGGGAGACUGGAAUUCCUGGUGUAGCGGUGAAAUGCGCAGAUAUCAGGAGGAACACCGGUGGCGAAGGCGGGUCUCUGGGCCGUAACUGACGCUGAGGAGCGAAAGCGUGGGGAGCGAAC
Molecule: ribosomal RNA, 250 nt
Filed under: uncultured bacterium
Lineage: Bacteria
Description: partial 16S ribosomal RNA
Rfam family: Bacterial small subunit ribosomal RNA
Source: RNAcentral